RNAcentral lists this ribosomal RNA (774 nucleotides) under uncultured Neocallimastigales. Its description in RNAcentral is "partial large subunit ribosomal RNA". It matches the Rfam family "Eukaryotic large subunit ribosomal RNA", at positions 23 to 647 of the family's 3401-position model. Lineage: Eukaryota; Fungi; Neocallimastigomycota; Neocallimastigomycetes; Neocallimastigales. The record is from RNAcentral.
AGAGAUGUGUGAUGACGCAUAUCAAUAAGCGGAGGAAAAGAAACUAACAAGGAUUCCCUUAGUAACGGCGAGUGAAGCGGGAAGAGCUCAAAUUUGAAAUCUUCAAGGUUCUACCUUGACGAAUUGUAGUUUAUAGAAGUGUUUUCUGUUAGUGGAGUGGCAAAAGUUCUUUGGAAUAGGACAUCAUAGAGGGUGAGAAUCCCGUAUUUGGUCAUUCCUCCUAGCGUUGUGAUACACUUUCAACGAGUCGGAUUGUUUGGGAAUGCAGUCCAAAAUGGGUGGUAAAUUUCAUCUAAAGCUAAAUAUUGGCGAGAGACCGAUAGCGAACAAGUACCGUGAGGGAAAGAUGAAAAGAACUUUGAAAAGAGAGUUAAACAGUACGUGAAAUUGUCAAAAGGGAAGCGUUUGACACCAGUGUUGUUUUUCCGAAAAUCAAUUACGAAUGUUUUAUUUUUGAGGAGUUAUGACUUCAUCGGCUUGCUCCUUUCUUUAUGAAACUUUCUUAAUGCACUUUUCGGUUAACAAGUCAACAUCAAUUUCUUUUGUUGUAAAAGGGUAUGAGGAAGGUGGCUUUCUUUUCGGAGAAAGUGUUUAUAGCCUUUGGCUUCUGCAAUCGGAGAGAUUGAGGUCUGCAGCGUAGAUCCUUCGGGGUUAGAUGCAUUUGUGCUAAGCUAUAGCCUUGUAUAGACAACUUGUUGACUAUGCUCAGUCAUGUAGCUUACUCGCUUAUGCUAUUUUACCUACGCUUAGGAUGUUGACGCAUGAGAUAUACGC